CCCCGGAUAGCGCAGGUGGUAGUGCGCACAACUUUGAUUCGUUAGGUCGUCGGUUCGAGACCCGCCAAGGUCUGAGGU
Non-coding RNA from Halocaridina rubra (Hawaiian volcano shrimp), 78 nucleotides. The record is from the annotation of a GenBank genome assembly. Lineage: Eukaryota; Metazoa; Arthropoda; Malacostraca; Decapoda; Atyidae.